Molecule: RNA transcript, 1531 nt
Organism: Oncorhynchus keta (chum salmon)
Lineage: Eukaryota; Metazoa; Chordata; Actinopteri; Salmoniformes; Salmonidae
Gene name: C-C motif chemokine 13-like
Exons: 3
Source: RefSeq, a predicted model, not a curated record
CAGAGUGAAUGAAGGAGUAGAGGGGAGAUUCCCCCAUCAAGUGUCAAUGGGUCUGAUGGACCAGCUCUCUGUAUAAAAGACAGGUCAGAUCAGACCUCAGACAUAUAGCCAGAGCAUCAGCUAGACUUCUGACACAGAACCAGACUAGAGCAUCAGAGACCAGAGCAUAAGAGACCAGAACAUCAGAGACCAGAGCAUCAGAGACCAGAGCAUAAGAGACCAGAGCAUCAGAGACCAGAGCAUCAGAGACCAGAGCAUCAGAGACCAGAACAUCAGAGACCAGAACAUCAGAGACCAGAGCAUCAGAGACCAGAACAUCAGAACAUCAGAGACCAGAGCAUCAGAGACUAGAACAUCAGAGACCAGAGCAUCAGAGACCAGAGCAUCAGAGACCAGAGCAUCAGAGACCAGAGCAUCAGAGACCAGAGCAUCAGAGACCAGAACAUCAGAGACCAGAGCAUCAGAGACCAGAGCAUCAGAGACCAGAGCAUCAGAGACCAGAGCAUCAGAGACCAGAACAUCAGAGAACAUCUCAAACAAUACAAUCUUCAGCAUCUCAACCAUCUCUGAACCAUGAAGACCCUGACUGCUCUACUCCUCCUGGGACUGCUCUGCUCCCUCCACACGACGUCUGCAGGUGUCAUCGCGUUGGAAAUAGCACCUGACUGCUGUAUGAAAUUCAGCGAGGAUCCCUCUUCAACAAGUAGUUUCUCUCAGAACAACCUCCAGUAGCUGCCCUCGCAAAGCACUGAUUUUCACCACAAAGAAAGGGAAGACAUUUUGUGUUGACCCUUCUAAAGCCUGGGUCCAGAGUCAUGUGACCAAGAUUCAGAGCAGAUCGACUACUGCCAAGACGACGAUGAUGUCAUCAACUACCAUCACCCUCUAACACCCCAACCCUUGUUGGUGCACUUUAAAGGGAAUAGGUUGCCAUUAGUGACACAAACCUUGUCAUGCAUGUCAAUACCCUAUCUGAGAUUGGUAUAGAUUAGGUUCAAUGUAAUGUACUAGGUUAAUAUCCUAUCUGAGAUUGGUAUAGAUUAGGUUCAAUGUAAUGUACUAGGUUAAUAUCCUAUCUGAGAUUGGUAUAGAUUAGGUUCAAUGUAAUGUACUAGGUUAAUAUCCUAUCUGAGAUUGGUAUAGAUUAGGUUCAAUGUAAUGUACUAGGUUAAUAUCCUAUCUGAGAUUGGUAUAGAGGAGGCUCAAUGUAAUGUACUAGGUCUAGGAUAAACUAAUUGUUUAUUUUUCUAAAACUGUAAACAUAUUUGACAUGUAACCUAUUUAAUAUUUUAUAAAGCCUGUGAAAAUUUCAAACAUCCUGUGAAAGAGUGGUUCAUAUUAUCCAAUUAAUGUAUUAAUGGAUAUAUAUGGGUUGUAACUAGGUCUAUUCUACUGAUAUAGAUAUUAAUGGGUUGUAACUAGGUCUAUUCUACUGAUAUAGAUAUUAAUGGGUUGUAACUGGGUCUAUUCUACUGAUAUAUAUAUUAAUGGGUUGUAACUAGGUCUAUUCUACUGAUAUAGAUAUUAAUGG